This 73-nucleotide transfer RNA is filed under the name Camelus bactrianus (Bactrian camel). It matches the Rfam family "tRNA". Rfam says of the family: Transfer RNA (tRNA) molecules are approximately 80 nucleotides in length. Lineage: Eukaryota; Metazoa; Chordata; Mammalia; Artiodactyla; Camelidae. The record is from Rfam by way of RNAcentral. RNAcentral also lists the same sequence under 2 other names.
GAGGGUAUAGCUCAAGUGGUGGAGCUCAUGCUUAGCAUGCAUGAGGUCCUGGGUUCAAUCCCCAGUACCUCUU